This 270-nucleotide ribosomal RNA is filed under the name uncultured archaeon. Its description in RNAcentral is "partial 16S ribosomal RNA". It matches the Rfam family "Archaeal small subunit ribosomal RNA", at positions 477 to 747 of the family's 1478-position model. The record is from RNAcentral.
CAGCCCCUCGAGUGGUGGGGAUGAUUAUUUGGCCUAAAGCGUCCGUAGCCUGCCGGGUAAGUUUCCCGUUAAAUCCAGCGUCUCAAGCGUUGGACUGCGGGAAAUACUGCCUGGCUAGAGAGUGGGAGAGGUCAGCGGUAUUCUGGGGGUAGGGGCGAAAUCCUUUGAUCCCCGGAGGACCACCAGUGGCAAAGGCUGCUGACUAGAACACGUCUGACGGUCAGGGACGAAAGCUGGGGUAGCGAACCGGAUUAGAUACCCGAGUAGUCC